AUCCUACGGGAGGCAGCAGUGGGGAAUAUUGCACAAUGGGCGCAAGCCUGAUGCAGCCAUGCCGCGUGUAUGAAGAAGGCCUUCGGGUUGUAAAGACUUUCAGCAGUGAGGAAGGUGGGUAUGUUAAUAGCAUAUUCAUUUGACGUUAGCUGCAGAAGAAGCACCGGCUAACUCCCGUGCCAGCAGCCGCGGUAAUACGGAGGGUGCGAGCGUUAAUCGGAAUUACUGGGCGUAAAGCGCAUGCAGGUGGUUUGUUAAGUCAGAUGUGAAAGCCCCGGGGCUCAACCUCGGAAUUGCAUUUGAAACUGGCAAACUAGAGUACUGUAGAGGGGGUAGAAUUUCAGGUGUAGCGGUGAAAUGCGUAGAGAUCUGAAGGAAUACCGGUGGCGAAGGCGGCCCCCCUGGACAGAUACUGACACUCAGAUGCGAAAGCGUGGGGAGCAAACAGGAUUAGAUACCCUGGUAG
This 466-nucleotide ribosomal RNA is filed under the name uncultured bacterium. Its description in RNAcentral is "bacterial SSU rRNA". It matches the Rfam family "Bacterial small subunit ribosomal RNA", at positions 335 to 793 of the family's 1533-position model. The record is from RNAcentral.